This 498-nucleotide ribosomal RNA is filed under the name uncultured bacterium. Its description in RNAcentral is "partial 16S ribosomal RNA". It matches the Rfam family "Bacterial small subunit ribosomal RNA", at positions 30 to 523 of the family's 1533-position model. The record is from RNAcentral.
AUUGAACGCUGGCGGCAUGCCUUACACAUGCAAGUCGAACGGUAACAGGUCUUCGGAUGCUGACGAGUGGCGAACGGGUGAGUAAUACAUCGGAACGUGCCUAGUAGUGGGGGAUAACUACUCGAAAGAGUGGCUAAUACCGCAUGAGAUCUACGGAUGAAAGCAGGGGACCGCAAGACCUUGUGCUACUAGAGCGGCCGAUGGCAGAUUAGGUAGUUGGUGGGAUAAAAGCUUACCAAGCCGACGAUCUGUAGCUGGUCUGAGAGGAAGAUCAGCCACACUGGGACUGAGACACGGCCCAGACUCCUACGGGAGGCAGCAGUGGGGAAUUUUGGACAAUGGGCGCAAGCCUGAUCCAGCAAUGCCGCGUGCAGGAUGAAGGCCUUCGGGUUGUAAACUGCUUUUGUACGGAACGAAAAGCCCCGGGUUAAUACCCUGGGGUCAUGACGGUACCGUAAGAAUAAGCACCGGCUAACUACGUGCCAGCCGCCGCAGUAA